UUGUUUUUCUCAGAAAAAUCAGAGUAGAAAGAAAGAUGGACAUACAGACUGGUAGUAGUAGUAGGAGGAGGAGGAGGGGGAAGGAGGAAGAACCUGGCAAGCCUUGGAGGUAACAGGAAGGCGACCGGAGACCUUGGUUGGGGAUAUUUCCUCAAGCUGGAAACCCAUGGCGUGUAUGGGAGCAUCCAAAAUAGCUGUCUUAUUGGAGGGGUUCUGGCCCUGGCUCUGGCUCAGGCUCUGACUCUGACUCUGACUCUGACUCUCCAUCGUUCUCCCCUUCUCUUGGAUGACUAUGAUCACCGGAUUCACCACCACUCUUCUCUCCAAAACCAAGACAUUUUUUUCUCUCGUGGGGAGGAUGAUGAUAACCACGCUCUUAUUUCAGAAAUGAUAAGGGUUAGUUCUGUACAUUUGCUGUAUAAGGUGGGCCUACUGCCUAGUGCAGGGGUUAGGUGCAAUGGUAGAAUUCUAUGCACACCAGAAACAAAACAACGCGGUAGUUGGCCUCUCUCCACGCCUCUUCUCUCUCUGCCACAAUUGGGCAAACCCGUCCUCCCCUCCUUCAAUUCUUCUUUAUUUACAUU
Molecule: long non-coding RNA, 584 nt
Filed under: Vitis vinifera (wine grape)
Lineage: Eukaryota; Viridiplantae; Streptophyta; Magnoliopsida; Vitales; Vitaceae
Description: long non-coding RNA (VVIN_LNC001293)
Source: RNAcentral